GAGGCCUAAAACGGUGUGAGGAACAGCAUAACUCUGUUACCACAGUGAGGUUGUGAAAGAGUUUUGUGUCAUAGUAACUGCAGCAACAAGACACUAGGCAUCAGCAAGGUCCCCUUCAGACAAAGAUUUUAAACAAACUUAGUGCAGCAGAUAAAAGACACAGCAGUGAAGCUUUAGUGCAGUUUCAAUAAGGAAGAUCUUCUUCAUCUACAGAUAUCCUGCAGAUUUUUAUUAGCUCAGAACUGGCAGAAACCAGUGGGAUCCAUGUAUGCCCAUGCAUGUCUGAAGAAGUCUGACCAGAAGUGGCCUUCAUGGAGGAGCUGCAGCCAAAUCUCCAACAUGGAAACAAGACCAAGCUCAGCAGGACAACAGCCCUAAACAUACAGUCAAAGAACUGUAUUCAGCAUAAAGAAGAACAAGAAGUACUGGAAGUGAAGUCGUGCAAAGAGCCCGGAUUUUUAACAUCUCAUAGUGUCCUGGGAUUACAUGAAGAGACAGAAGGGUGAGGGAAAACCCCACAUCCACAGAAGAUGUGUACUUAGCUCUCAGAUGUUUGAAACAACCCACCAAAUGAAUACAUAGAAACAGAACAAGUGUGGGCAAAGGGUGUUUUACACUUAACAGUCAUUUGAUUUAAAUGUCUCUUUUUAUUUACUACAUUUUUGUUGACUAAUGGAAAUAAAUAAUUAAUCCUUCCAUGAAAGCA
Long non-coding RNA from Oryzias latipes (Japanese medaka), 706 nucleotides. RefSeq lists it as uncharacterized. The record is from RefSeq and is a predicted model, not a curated record. NCBI's taxonomy places the organism in Eukaryota, Metazoa, Chordata, Actinopteri, Beloniformes, Adrianichthyidae.